This 3268-nucleotide long non-coding RNA is filed under the name Homo sapiens (human). RNAcentral describes it as "HSALNT0138681". The record is from RNAcentral. Lineage: Eukaryota; Metazoa; Chordata; Mammalia; Primates; Hominidae.
CGGCAGUGGAACCAGACAGCUGUGAGGAAAGGACAUACAGCAAUGACACCAAGAGGUGGUGCUCAAGUCACCCUGGAGGAAAUGGAGGUGUCCCAGAGAGGCAGCAUUUGGGGAGGACACAUUUGGACCUGACCUUCACCACUGGUCAUGUGAGAAAGCCUCUAUACCUGGUUCCUCAACGUCUCCGUUUAGAAGACUGCAUCAGCAAAACCAUCCUACCAUGGGAAUUAACUGAUGGAUGUGUCUGGACUUCCCAGGGGGUUCUCCAUGGACAGUAUUGUGCUGGUAAAUAUUUAACAACUGACUCUUCGUGGGGAGAAAAUCACUAAGUGUAGCAUCUGUUAACACCUCCACCCUGGCUGAUGCGCAGUUGGGAAGACAUGUGCACAGCUGGCACCGUGAGCUGGCAGGAGCUGCUCCAGCACCCGCAUUGCAUGCAAAAGUCAAGCACUAUCUCCAGCUCCCUGAAUCCUGUGUGAAGGCAGGACAGCAAGCUGGUUAAGAGGCUAAGAUUUGACUGGGCAUGGUGGCUCAUGCCUGUAAUCCCAGCACUUUGGGAGGCCGAGGCGGGCAGAUCACUUGAGGUGAGGAGUUCGAGACCAGCCUGGCCAACAUGGUGAAACCCCAUCUCUACUGAAAAAUACAAAAAUUAGCCUCACAUGGGGGUGCACGCCUGUAAUCCCAGCUACUCAAGAGCCUGAGGCAGGAGAAUUGCUUGAACCCGGGAGGUAGAGGCCGCAGUGACAGGGGUGGGAAAGAGGCUGAGAUUCGCAGCUGAACAAACUUGGGCUCAAUGAGCAGCUCCAACUCUUACCGGUCAUAUGACCUUGAGCAAGUACAAAUCUCAAUUAGUAAAUAGGAAAGCAUCUUCUGCUGAUGAAGCAUUCAUUCUGUUCUAAGGACUUGCCAUCUCCUAACUCACUUAAUCUUCACAGUAACCACAACAGGUUGGUUUGACUCUCAUUCGCAGUUAAAGACGAGGAGACGGAGACCUAGAGGAAGUCAUUUGUACAAGGCCAUAUGGCUUGCUCCUGAUAGAUCUGGAAUUUGGACUCAGGCAGCCUGGUUCUGGAGCUGAAUUCUGAACUACCUAUAUCAUCCCACCUCAGUCCAGUGAGAGAACGUGUCACCUGAGUGCUCAAGAUACAUCAAGAGCCCGACCAUGUCCUGGAGCCUCUUAAGAGCGAAGCUCAGGGUGCAGGACCUGAGAGGGUGUUAAUCAGCCGCUUCCAUUUUUUUCUUAAUAUGGGAAGACCAGAUUUUGCUUGGCUUCUGGAAACCGCUGCCAUCUUGCUUUUCCUCCUACUUCAGCUCUUGGUCUCCUGUGCAGCUGGCUUUUCCUUCUUCCUGACUUUUCAAGCCCAUCCUUGGACCUCUUAUCUUCUCCAUCAAAAUUCUCUCCCUGGAUGAUUUCACUGAGGCCGAUGGCUUAAAUCCCUUAGAAAUACUGAUAGCUCCAAAUCCCUAUCUUUAGCCUGGCCUCCUGCCCUAGAAUUCACUUGUCUAAGUGCCUAGUGGAUUUCUCCACUUAGAUGUCUCAUAAGCAUUUCAAACCUGCCCAAAACGAAACUUGAUUACCAUCCCCAAACCACUCUUCCCUAAGAAAAUGGUGUCCCCGUUCCACCAGUUGCUCAGGCAAAAACCCUAGCAAUCAGCCUCACUUGCUUUCAUUCUCUCUCAUCUCCCACAUCAAACCCAUUAGCAAAUUCUGUUGGUUCUUUUUUGAAAUGUACUCGGAGGCUACUUCUCACCACAUGCUCUGCUAUGGUUCUAGCCCAAGCCACUGUCAGUCUCUCCCAGAGACACAAGCUGUACCUUCCUAACUCGCACCCCUGUGUGCAUCCCUGUGUGCAUCCCUGCUCACCCAAAGCCAACCCUUUGCAUAUAACCAGAGUGAUUUUUUUGAAAUGUAAAUAAGAACCGGUCACCACCCUAUUCAAAUCCUCCAGGGGCUUCUCAUUUCUCUUAGAACAAAACCCAGACUCCUGACUACAGCCCCAAAGCCCUACAUGAUCCUGCCCCAUUUACAGCUCCAGGCUCAUUACCUACCUCGUGCUCCCAGCCCACGGAUCAUCGCCUACCACAUGCUCCCAGCCCCCGGAUCUCCAGCACAUCAGCCUCUUGGCUCUUCUUAGAACUCCCUGAAUUCACUCCUGUCUCAAGGACUUUCCUGUGCUUUUCCUUAGACAGGAGACACCCCUCCCAGUUCACAUGGCUCACUCGCUUCAUCCAGGUCUCUUCUCCAGUGUCCCCUCCUUGUGACCCCUGGAUCUAAAGGAGUUGAACCACCCCACUCCUACCCUUAUAUUCUCAUAGCUCCUCACGCUGCCUCACUUUUAGCAAGAUUUCAUUAAAAUUUUAUUGCUGUCUAAAAUUCUAUUAUAUAUUUAACCAUUUACUUGUUUAGUAUCUGUGUCUUCCAUUAGCAAGUAAGUUCUGGCCAGGCGUGGUGGCUCACACCUGUAAUCCCAGCACUUUGGGAGGCUGAGGCAGGCAGAUCACCUGAGGUCAGGAGUUUGAGACCAGCCUGGUCAACGUGGUGAAACCCUGUCUCUACUAAAAAUACAAAAAUUUGCCGGGUGUGGUGGCAUGCACCUGUAAUCUCAGCUACUCGGGAGGCUGAGGCAGGAGAAUCGCUUGAACCUGGGAGGUGGAGGCUGCAGUGAGCCAAAAGAAAGAAAGAAAGUAAGUUCCAUGAAGGCAGAAAUUUUCUGCUUUAUUCAUUGCUGAAUACUCAACAUCUAGAAUUGUAGACCCUCCAUAGACACUUAUUGGCUGAAUGACUGAAAGAAUGAAUGAGUGGUUAGAAACAGUACCCAUGUGGAAGAAUAUAUAGCCACCUCUUACACACAGUUUCAUUAAUUCUCAGAAGUUUUCUAUGGCAAUUAGGGAGCAGAUUAUUUCGCCCGUUUAUUGAAACCCAGAACUAACGAUUGAUGUUUAAAGACUAAUCCGUCUGGAGUAAGUAGCUGCUGAAUGUUGGCCGUUCAAAUGAAGUAAGUUAAGUAUUAUGUGUCUCUAAUGUAUUUUAAACUUGUUUUAUGUCAAUUAUAUUAUCACAACUUUGGAAGAAACUUUAUUAGGACAAACUUUAAUAUUUUUUUCUAGAAAGUAUUUUUUUUAAACUAACACAAAUGCAAAGUCACUGUAAAGUUCAAGAAGUAAACGAUAUCUUCUUUUAGUUACAGCUGAAAGGAAAGCACAUCACUAAUAAUACCAAACUUGGUUUGGCAAUUUUUAGAAACCCCAUUUAGGCCAGGCGCAGUGG